Molecule: long non-coding RNA, 1115 nt
Organism: Mytilus californianus (California mussel)
Lineage: Eukaryota; Metazoa; Mollusca; Bivalvia; Mytilida; Mytilidae
Exons: 3
Source: RefSeq, a predicted model, not a curated record
UAUCUACUUCAUAGUUGUGUUACGUCGCCACGUGAUCAAAUAAUCCGGUAUUAUUAAGAUACUUUAUCAUGGAGCAGGCAGCAAAAAAAUUGAGAACAGAAGAACAAGCACAGGAAGGCACACCGCCGAACCAUUCGUUAUCUCCAUUUAAUUUCCCUGAUUUAACCAUCAAAAUUGGUAAUGAAAAGCUUUAUAUUAACAAAUACCAUUUAAUGGAAGUGUCACCAGUUUUCCUAAAAAUGCUAACCGGAGACUUUAAAGAGAAAGACGCCAGUGAAAUUGAACUUCCAGAUGAAAACCCAACAACAUUUGCUCUUUUUCUACGACACACAUUGCCUGGUUUUGAAUUGCUUAAACUAACAGAAAAUGAAGCUCAUCUUAUUUUACCAUUGGCACACAAGUACCUCAUGAACACAUUAGUGUCAAAAAUCGACCAGAGUUUGUCAGUCUAUGUGAAGGAAAAUAAAUAUCUAGAGAAUUCACAUAGCAAACUUGCUACUGAGAAAUUAAUGGAUGAUAUUUUGAAAGCUGAACUCUUCAAUUUACCAAAUUUUUUAACAGAAUGCUUAAAGAAUGCGUAUAAAUUGUCGUAUAAGGUGUGUAUAAAAAGCCCGAAGUUUCAUCGUAUUUCAAGCGAUACAAAAUCAAAAUUGUUAUUGAUGAGAUGUGAAGAGUUAGAAUUAGGAAUUGAAAAAUGUUUAAGAGUUUUAGGGAGAACGGAUUUAUAUGGUCGAUGUAAAAGUUGUGAUGAUAGAAAAAGGGUGGAAGAAGCAAGAAGCAUACUGAAUUCCAACGAGUUAAAUAAGUCCAGAUCGUUAGACUUAUGACGAUAUAAUGUAUUAACAUACUCUCGAGUUCAAAGAAAAUGUUUUCCAGAAUUCAUAAUGGACAUUUCUGUUUAAUAGGUAUACCUUAUAAUUAUUUGUUUUGUUUUCUAUAUGUUGUGUUUUGUUUUGUACUGUUGUUUGUCUUUUCGUCUUUUUGUUCACCAUGACGUUAUGAGUUUAUUUUUGACUCAUGAGUUUGAAAGUGACUGUUGUAAGCCUUUUUUUUUAAGUCAAAAUUUAUUGAAUUACUCAUGUUUUUAUAUUAUUACAGAACUUUAAUUGGACAAA